RNAcentral lists this unclassified non-coding RNA (358 nucleotides) under uncultured fungus. Its description in RNAcentral is "partial contains small subunit ribosomal RNA, internal transcribed spacer 1, and 5.8S ribosomal RNA". The stretch from base 1 to 73 matches the Rfam family "Eukaryotic small subunit ribosomal RNA", at positions 1759 to 1831 of the family's 1831-position model. The record is from RNAcentral. Lineage: Eukaryota; Fungi.
UCAAACUUGGUCAUUUAGAGGAAGUAAAAGUCGUAACAAGGUUUCCGUAGGUGAACCUGCGGAAGGAUCAUUAUCGAGUUUUGAAAGUGGGCUUUGAUGCUGGCAUUCUUUGUGAUGCAUGUGCUCGGCUCCGCUCAAAUCCACUCAACCCCUGUGCACUUUCGAAGUUGGUUGUUGGUCCUCCAUCAUGGGAGCAGCUCUCGUAGUGGGAGCCGGGGCCGAUCGACUGCUUCGCAAUAUUAUUCUACAAACUUGUUUUUGUUGUACUGUGAAUGCAAUAGACCCUUUAUACGGUCGCAAACUUAAUACAACUUUCAACAACGGAUCUCUUGGCUCUCGCAUCGAUGAAGAACGCAGC